RNAcentral lists this ribosomal RNA (497 nucleotides) under uncultured bacterium. RNAcentral describes it as "partial 16S ribosomal RNA". It matches the Rfam family "Bacterial small subunit ribosomal RNA", at positions 28 to 507 of the family's 1533-position model. The record is from RNAcentral.
GAUGAACGCUGGCGGCGUGCCUAAUACAUGCAAGUCGAGCGAACGGACGAGAAGCUUGCUUCUCUGAUGUUAGCGGCGGACGGGUGAGUAACACGUGGAUAACCUACCUAUAAGACUGGGAUAACUUCGGGAAACCGUAGCUAAUACCGGAUAAUAUUUUGAACCGCAUGGUUCAAAAGUGAAAGACGGUCUUUCUGUCACUUAUAGAUGGAUCCGCGCUGCAUUAGCUAGUUGGUAAGGUAACGGCUUACCAAGGCAACGAUGCAUAUCCGACCUGAGAGGGUGAUCGGCCACACUGGAACUGAGGCACGGUCCAGACUCCUACGGGAGGCAGCAGUAGGGAAUCUUCCGCAAUGGGCGAAAGCCUGACGGAGCAACGCCGCGUGAGUGAUGAAGGUCUUCGGAUCGUAAAACUCUGUUAUUAGGGAAGAACAUAUGUGUAAGUAACUGUGCACAUCUUGACGGUACCUAAUCAGAAAGCCACGGCUAACUACGUG